Non-coding RNA from Triticum aestivum (bread wheat), 115 nucleotides. Lineage: Eukaryota; Viridiplantae; Streptophyta; Magnoliopsida; Poales; Poaceae. The record is from Rfam.
AAGAUACUACCUCUGUCUGGAAUUAGUUCUCGCUGAAAUGGAUGUAUCUAGACAUAUUUCAGAGCUAGAUACAUCCGUUUGAGUGACAAGUAAUUCCGGACGGAGGGAGUAAUUG